GAGGAAUAUUGGUCAAUGGACGGAAGUCUGAACCAGCCAUGCCGCGUGAAGGAUGAAGGCGUUCUGCGUUGUAAACUUCUUUUAUCUGGGAAGAAACCACAGAUUUCUAUUUGUGUUGACGGUACCAGAUGAAUAAGCACCGGCUAACUCCGUGCCAGCAGCCGCGGUAAUACGGAGGGUGCGAGCGUUAUCCGGAUUUACUGGGUUUAAAGGGUGCGUAGGCGGGCUAUUAAGUCAGAGGUGAAAUCUCCGGGCUCAACCUGGAAACUGCCGUUGAUACUAUUAGCCUUGAAUUAUGUUGAGGUUGGCGGAAUAUAACAUGUAGCGGUGAAAUGCUUAGAUAUGUUAUGGAACACCGAUUGCGAAGGCAGCUGGCUAAACAUAUAUUGACGCUGAUGCACGAAAGCGU
Molecule: ribosomal RNA, 409 nt
Filed under: uncultured bacterium
Lineage: Bacteria
Description: bacterial SSU rRNA
Rfam family: Bacterial small subunit ribosomal RNA
Source: RNAcentral